UACGAAGGGGGCUAGCGUUGCUCGGAAUCACUGGGCGUAAAGGGUGCGUAGGCGGGUUUUUAAGUCAGGGGUGAAAUCCUGGAGCUCAACUCCAGAACUGCCUUUGAUACUGAAGAUCUUGAGUUCGGGGAGAGGUGAGUGGAACUGCGAGUGUAGAGGUGAAAUUCGUAGAUAUUCGCAAGAACACCAGUGGCGAAGGCGGCUCACUGGCCCGGUACUGACGCUGAGAUACGAAAAGCGUGGGGAGCAAACAGGAUUAGAAAACCCC
RNAcentral lists this ribosomal RNA (268 nucleotides) under uncultured bacterium. Its description in RNAcentral is "partial 16S ribosomal RNA". It matches the Rfam family "Bacterial small subunit ribosomal RNA", at positions 524 to 788 of the family's 1533-position model. The record is from RNAcentral.